Molecule: ribosomal RNA, 2931 nt
Filed under: Escherichia coli
Lineage: Bacteria; Pseudomonadati; Pseudomonadota; Gammaproteobacteria; Enterobacterales; Enterobacteriaceae
Description: bacterial LSU rRNA
Rfam family: Bacterial large subunit ribosomal RNA
Source: RNAcentral
GGGUUGUGAGGUUAAGCGACUAAGCGUACACGGUGGAUGCCCUGGCAGUCAGAGGCGAUGAAGGACGUGCUAAUCUGCGAUAAGCGUCGGUAAGGUGAUAUGAACCGUUAUAACCGGCGAUUUCCGAAUGGGGAAACCCAGUGUGUUUCGACACACUAUCAUUAACUGAAUCCAUAGGUUAAUGAGGCGAACCGGGGGAACUGAAACAUCUAAGUACCCCGAGGAAAAGAAAUCAACCGAGAUUCCCCCAGUAGCGGCGAGCGAACGGGGAGGAGCCCAGAGCCUGAAUCAGUGUGUGUGUUAGUGGAAGCGUCUGGAAAGGCGCGCGAUACAGGGUGACAGCCCCGUACACAAAAAUGCACAUGCUGUGAGCUCGAUGAGUAGGGCGGGACACGUGGUAUCCUGUCUGAAUAUGGGGGGACCAUCCUCCAAGGCUAAAUACUCCUGACUGACCGAUAGUGAACCAGUACCGUGAGGGAAAGGCGAAAAGAACCCCGGCGAGGGGAGUGAAAAAGAACCUGAAACCGUGUACGUACAAGCAGUGGGAGCACGCUUAGGCGUGUGACUGCGUACCUUUUGUAUAAUGGGUCAGCGACUUAUAUUCUGUAGCAAGGUUAACCGAAUAGGGGAGCCGAAGGGAAACCGAGUCUUAACUGGGCGUUAAGUUGCAGGGUAUAGACCCGAAACCCGGUGAUCUAGCCAUGGGCAGGUUGAAGGUUGGGUAACACUAACUGGAGGACCGAACCGACUAAUGUUGAAAAAUUAGCGGAUGACUUGUGGCUGGGGGUGAAAGGCCAAUCAAACCGGGAGAUAGCUGGUUCUCCCCGAAAGCUAUUUAGGUAGCGCCUCGUGAAUUCAUCUCCGGGGGUAGAGCACUGUUUCGGCAAGGGGGUCAUCCCGACUUACCAACCCGAUGCAAACUGCGAAUACCGGAGAAUGUUAUCACGGGAGACACACGGCGGGUGCUAACGUCCGUCGUGAAGAGGGAAACAACCCAGACCGCCAGCUAAGGUCCCAAAGUCAUGGUUAAGUGGGAAACGAUGUGGGAAGGCCCAGACAGCCAGGAUGUUGGCUUAGAAGCAGCCAUCAUUUAAAGAAAGCGUAAUAGCUCACUGGUCGAGUCGGCCUGCGCGGAAGAUGUAACGGGGCUAAACCAUGCACCGAAGCUGCGGCAGCGACGCUUAUGCGUUGUUGGGUAGGGGAGCGUUCUGUAAGCCUGUGAAGGUGUGCUGUGAGGCAUGCUGGAGGUAUCAGAAGUGCGAAUGCUGACAUAAGUAACGAUAAAGCGGGUGAAAAGCCCGCUCGCCGGAAGACCAAGGGUUCCUGUCCAACGUUAAUCGGGGCAGGGUGAGUCGACCCCUAAGGCGAGGCCGAAAGGCGUAGUCGAUGGGAAACAGGUUAAUAUUCCUGUACUUGGUGUUACUGCGAAGGGGGGACGGAGAAGGCUAUGUUGGCCGGGCGACGGUUGUCCCGGUUUAAGCGUGUAGGCUGGUUUUCCAGGCAAAUCCGGAAAAUCAAGGCUGAGGCGUGAUGACGAGGCACUACGGUGCUGAAGCAACAAAUGCCCUGCUUCCAGGAAAAGCCUCUAAGCAUCAGGUAACAUCAAAUCGUACCCCAAACCGACACAGGUGGUCAGGUAGAGAAUACCAAGGCGCUUGAGAGAACUCGGGUGAAGGAACUAGGCAAAAUGGUGCCGUAACUUCGGGAGAAGGCACGCUGAUAUGUAGGUGAAGUCCCUCGCGGAUGGAGCUGAAAUCAGUCGAAGAUACCAGCUGGCUGCAACUGUUUAUUAAAAACACAGCACUGUGCAAACACGAAAGUGGACGUAUACGGUGUGACGCCUGCCCGGUGCCGGAAGGUUAAUUGAUGGGGUCAGCGUAAGCGAAGCUCUUGAUCGAAGCCCCGGUAAACGGCGGCCGUAACUAUAACGGUCCUAAGGUAGCGAAAUUCCUUGUCGGGUAAGUUCCGACCUGCACGAAUGGCGUAAUGAUGGCCAGGCUGUCUCCACCCGAGACUCAGUGAAAUUGAACUCGCUGUGAAGAUGCAGUGUACCCGCGGCAAGACGGAAAGACCCCGUGAACCUUUACUAUAGCUUGACACUGAACAUUGAGCCUUGAUGUGUAGGAUAGGUGGGAGGCUUAGAAGUGUGGACGCCAGUCUGCAUGGAGCCGACCUUGAAAUACCACCCUUUAAUGUUUGAUGUUCUAACGUUGACCCGUAAUCCGGGUUGCGGACAGUGUCUGGUGGGUAGUUUGACUGGGGCGGUCUCCUCCUAAAGAGUAACGGAGGAGCACGAAGGUUGGCUAAUCCUGGUCGGACAUCAGGAGGUUAGUGCAAUGGCAUAAGCCAGCUUGACUGCGAGCGUGACGGCGCGAGCAGGUGCGAAAGCAGGUCAUAGUGAUCCGGUGGUUCUGAAUGGAAGGGCCAUCGCUCAACGGAUAAAAGGUACUCCGGGGAUAACAGGCUGAUACCGCCCAAGAGUUCAUAUCGACGGCGGUGUUUGGCACCUCGAUGUCGGCUCAUCACAUCCUGGGGCUGAAGUAGGUCCCAAGGGUAUGGCUGUUCGCCAUUUAAAGUGGUACGCGAGCUGGGUUUAGAACGUCGUGAGACAGUUCGGUCCCUAUCUGCCGUGGGCGCUGGAGAACUGAGGGGGGCUGCUCCUAGUACGAGAGGACCGGAGUGGACGCAUCACUGGUGUUCGGGUUGUCAUGCCAAUGGCACUGCCCGGUAGCUAAAUGCGGAAGAGAUAAGUGCUGAAAGCAUCUAAGCACGAAACUUGCCCCGAGAUGAGUUCUCCCUGACCCUUUAAGGGUCCUGAAGGAACGUUGAAGACGACGACGUUGAUAGGCCGGGUGUGUAAGCGCAGCGAUGCGUUGAGCUAACCGGUACUAAUGAACCGUGAGGCUUAACCUUACAACGCCGAAGGUGUUU